This 293-nucleotide small RNA is filed under the name uncultured Cohnella sp. Its description in RNAcentral is "5' ureB small RNA". It matches the Rfam family "5' ureB small RNA". Lineage: Bacteria; Bacillati; Bacillota; Bacilli; Caryophanales; Paenibacillaceae. The record is from RNAcentral.
GUUUCGAUCUGCUGCGGCGCGAUAAAAUGAAUGUGCGUGUCGAUGCCUCCGGCCGUCACGAUUUUUCCUUCGCCCGCGAUCACCUCGGUGCUAGCCCCGACGACCAUAUUCGCGUCGACGCCGUCCAUGAUGUCGGGAUUUCCCGCCUUGCCGAUGCCGACGAUCCGCCCGUCCUUCAUGCCGAUAUCGGCUUUGUAAAUUCCGGUAUAGUCGAUGACGACCGCGUUGGUGAUCAGCGUGUCCAGCACGCCUUCGUCCCGAACGGCCCGGCUCGACUGCCCCAUUCCGUCCCG